RNAcentral lists this long non-coding RNA (7467 nucleotides) under Panax ginseng (ginseng). Its description in RNAcentral is "long non-coding RNA (PGIN_LNC017275)". The record is from RNAcentral. Lineage: Eukaryota; Viridiplantae; Streptophyta; Magnoliopsida; Apiales; Araliaceae.
CACCAAUUAAAUUAAAAGAAAAAAGACUAACUCAAAAAAUACAAAAAACCUUUAAAAAAAUCAAACAUUACCCUCCCUCUAUUAAAAAAAAUCCAAAAUCAUAGUCCCAAUAAUAUUUUUUAAUUUCAAACAUUCAAAGGCCCAAACAAUACGAUCUACAAAUCACGACAAAACAGAUAUGCAAAUCAUUGACGAUCCUUUCGGUUCCGUUCAGACCGGUAAUCCUUUCCGUUCCCACCACGAAUUCAGACCGACAAUCUUGACCGUCGAUGGAAACUCAGAACCGGGCUCGACCGACAUACUCUUUUUUGACGAUGACGUAGAUGGUCUAAAAGAUAAGGAGUCGCUCUGAGUUGGCUCAAACAGCGACGAUGUUGGUAAAGAUAGUGCCUUUUGUACAGGAAAAAUAAGCGGCGAUAAUAUCUUCGACGGAGUGGUGGUUAUCGAAGCGUUUUAAGAAGGAUAGAUGAUAAAUUGGUGGUAGUGGAUUGGAUAUAGCAAUAAAUGUUGUCGAUUGGAUGGUUGUGGCGGGGUUCGGUUGUGGUCGACAUUUUGGUAUGAAUUUUUCUCCCUUAUUAUCUGUUGUUCCGCUCUUUAGCAGGAAAAGUCGAAAAUAUUCAUAUCUACUGAUUUAUUUUAUUGUCUGUAUGGAUUUUAAGCUUUGUUAAAUUUCUUGGAGCUACCCUCCACUACUCCUAAAUCCUAAUCCUAUCCAAGUCCAAGUCCAAGUCCUAUCCCAAUAUUGUAUGUCCUAUCCCAAUAUUGUAUAUUGGUGAGUUAGUAUAUGUUCUUGGUGUAUUAGUGUUUGUUCUUGGUGUGUUAGUGUGUGUUUUAAUUAUUUUAAUAUUUAUUUAUUUUAUUUUAUUUCUUAAAAUGAAAUUAUAUUCUGGGAAGAAAUGAAUUGAUUUAGUAUAUAAUUUAUUCUUUGGGUAAUUUAGUAGUUAGGCUUGUGGUGGUCGAGUGGUCUCAUAGCCAAAAUUUUAAAUUUUAGGUCUUGGGUUCAAUUUUGAGGAGCAACAAAAUUUUGGAAAUUAGUUUUGGAAAAAGUACACGUUAGCGGUGCCAAUACACGUCAGUGGUUUGCCACGUAGGCAGGUCAACGCACAUGUGGUACCUAGGAGCUCAAUAUCCAAAUUUUCGAACAGAAAUGAGCUCAAUUUGCGCUGACUAAAAAGAAAGGGGCUUAAUACCCAAAAACACCUAAAUUUCAGUGGCCACAUUUGCAUUUUACCCUAUUCUUAACCCAUCUCAUCUAACAAAAAUACUCUUUCCCAUCCACAAAAAUGACCAUUUGUAAUUUUUUUUGAGUGAUCUUUUAAUCGAUAGUAAUAUACAAUGAUACAAUGUUGUUAGGAAUAAGCACGUGAAUGAUAUUCCUAUUUAUAUAAUAUUUGAUUAUGAUCUUAAUGAAUGAAUAUGCAAAUAUGUCUGCAUUGAAACAAGUUGUAAAGUCCUUGAAUAGAUAAUAGAAAUAUAUGUACAAGGACUUAUACUGAAAUGAUCAAAUAUGUUAGGAUUGAUUCUACAUGAACAAAACAGCUUUGUAAAGUCCUUCAAAAGAAUAUGAUGUACAAGGACUAAAUUUAGAAAGAUCAAGCUUAUUAGGUUAAUCUUAUAUGAUGUAAUAGAUAGGUCUGUCUUAUCAUUAAACAUUGCACCAGCCCUCGAAGUCUGAAAGAAGAGUAACUCCCGAAGUUCGUAGUCUGACAGCAGAAGCCAAGGCAGAAUCGUAGAGUAUUGAGAAAAUUGCUAAAGAAUCGUAGUCUGCUUUGGAGGGUCUCGCUCGGAAUCGUAGAGUUGGUCCAAACGCCUGCCGAGCCAAGUCAAGAAUCGUAGACCACAAUCGAAGUUGUGGAGUCUACUGAUCAUAUCAGAGGCAAAAAUCGUAGUCUAUUCUUGAAGUCAUAGUGACUGCAGAACCAAAGCUAGAUCAAAGUCUGCAAAACAAAGUCUUCAACAAAGUCUAUCAGUGCUCACAACGCCAAGGAAGAAUCGUAGUGAUAACACAAUUCUCAACACAUGAGCACUUCCAAAGCACCCAAAGAAUGUAGCCUCUGGUCAGAACUAUAAAGAUGCAAUCUGCCUGAAGGAAGCCAGAGAGCACUUACCAAAUGGCUUGCAAGCAAAUAGAAGAUCGAAACACAAAUUCAGUCAGCAUCCUGAUUGAAAAGGUGAAGCCAUUUAAGGGAAGUCUUCCAAAAGCAACAGUAAGAAGACUUCAGAUAAUGUGACUGACAAAAGGAAGUCAGCAAUGAAGUAGCUGUCAAGAUAAACAAAAGAUGAAGAUCUUAGGUAUAACUAUGAUUGUAAUGCUUGUCAGAUGAGAAGCAGGAACUGAUGAGGUCUAUAACAGAGAUACUGGCCAACCUAUAUAGAGUAGACAAAGAAGAUUAAGCAUGGGCCAGACCAUUGAUGAUAUGUGAACGGGAGAUCACAAGGAGAAAAGAGCUGAGCAUGACCAGUCUGAUGAGUCUUGGAUUUCAAGAAUGCCAGCACAAUCAAACAAGUUGUCAGUGUCUAUUGCAAGUCAAAGGCAAGCAGAAGUGUUGAAAUACUGCGAGAGUGAAGGAAGAGAGGUUUUACAUUGCAAAUCCAAGGAACACUCUCAAAAUCAUAGUGUUGUCUCAAUCAGUCAAUGAGCAAUAUUCAAAAGACUAACUAUGAUCAAGUUCAAGGUCAUCUGCAUCAGAAUCGUAGAGUUCGGUCAUCUGAGUAUUGAAGCCUUGGUAACAUCUCAAUACAAAGACUGACAUUCGAACAUUGUUGAUUGAAAGCAUCGAUGUAGAAGGACAACUCCUGAUGUUCUGAUCAAGGAGUCAAAAUGAAGAAAUAAAGGUGACUACUAGCCUGACACGUUAAAGCGACAUGUCUGAUGUGGUAGGUGAAAUAGUAGACUGCAGUAUCAGAAAAGUGAAGAGGGGGCUGUCACAUCACAUCAGCAGUCUGCACCAAAUAACUCAAGAUCUGCAAAUCAAUUCAAAUAGCCUCCAACGGCUAUAGUCCAACAGGAAGCUCAUGGAAGGAUAUUUAACAAUCGAAGCUUGAAUGCAGAAAAAGAGUUGUUGGUUUUGACAAGUUGUUGACUCUACGAGUUCUAUAGAGCUAAAAAGAAUAUGUCUUAGUGACAGUGAGACUACGAAAGUAGAAGUGAAACAAGAUAAGAAAAGAGCUUUAACAGAAAAAGGCUUCACUCAACAACAAUGAGAAUGCCAUUAAGAAUGUCAGCUAAGCUGAGAGCCGAGAAUGCCAAUAAGAUAACAUUUAGAAGAUUGGCAGAUCAGAGAAAAGAUCCAAAGAGUCAUUCUACGAAUCAACAUGAACCACCAAGAGCUGAAGAAGAACAGAUACAAAACCAAAUUUGUACACAAGUUAACCAAGGUUCGGGGGAUGCUAAAUGCCAGACUAAGUCUACCAAAAGUGCAAAGACUUAGCAAACCUCAAAUGGUGAAGGUGUGCAAGUUGAGAUCAGAUAAAGAUAAGAACCAACCACAAGAUCAUCUGCACGAAAGGAGUGACAGACUGUUACUUACUCAAAGAAAACGAGCUUCAUGAACAACUUAACAGUCUGUCUAAUAGUGAUCCAGUCUCGAUGUAGAAUCCAAAGAGGAUCAUAACAAGCUGCUAAGUAUCAAAUGAUGAACAAGCUUAAAGUCAUCUUAGCAGCUCAACACCAACAACAACAUCAACAAGAAGCCAGGGCCUGAGGGGUCCUUGUCCUAGGGACUAAACAGAGUUCCAAGUCUGUCAGACUUGAAGAGUUCUUAGUGAACUAGAGUUCCAAGUCUGCUGGACUUGAAGAGUUCUCACUGAACUAAAGUUUCAAGGCUGCUGGCCUUGAGAAAUCUUAAUGAUUCAAAGAUGUAAAGACUUCUUUAGUGGAAUCCCUGCUUGUUGAAGCAGAAGAGUGGAUUAGGAGCUUGAGUCUCUGAACCACUUAAAAUUCCUUGUCUUUUACAUACUGUCAUUUACAUUAUGAAUCUAUAACUGCUAUGAAUAUGAUAACUACUUACAUCUAAACCAACUCUAGAAAAGUGGUCAACAUAACAUCUAUGAAGGGGAACCUUAACUUAUUCUGCUGUGUUUAAAAUAAUUCUUAAGUUUGUCAUCUGCUAAUUACUUAGCAAUGUAAACUAAAAUGGAAAAGAUUUAUGAAAUCUAAAAGGAUCUAUUCAACCCCCCCUUCUAGAUCUAUUGUGUGCCCUAUGGGAACUAACAAAUGCCUUUAUGGAUAUCUUUAUAAUUUCAUUAUCAUGUAUUUAUUAUUUAUUUAACAACUUGUUAUUUUUAGUAGUAAAUAUGGAAAAAGAAUUAAUCAGUGGUGGAUCUAUGCAAGGGGCAGGGGGUAACUGAUUCCACUGAAUUUUUAACGGGGUCAAAUUAUUUGCUCAAAUAGUGGGAGAGUCCUUACAAGGAGAUAUAAUUUGGAAAGGAAUCAGUUAAUCAUUAAUUACAGUUAUAAGGUGAUUCUAAAAAGUACUCCUACUCCUAAUUGGAUUCGGGUGGACAAGACUUCUAUAAAUACAACAACAAGCAAGGGUAGGGGAACACAAUUACAUAUGACACAAAUAAAAAAUUUGUACUCUCCAUAUUAUUUUAGUGGAUUUCUCAUCUCUCCGUGGUUUUUUCUUAAUUGGGUUUCCACGUAAAUUCUUGCGUCCAUAUUUUAUAUCUCUUAUAAUGAUGUGUGUAUGUUUAUUUGUGUAUAUUUUGUGAUUUUGAUUGCACAACAAUACAAUCAACUACUCCAUCAACCGUUAACGCUGUUUUGGCCUGCUGUUUUAGUGAUUUCGUCAGGCGUACAACAUUAAGCGUUAACAUUGGGACCGUCUGUGGGAACGCUUGUUCUAAUAUUGAAUUAAAAUCACCGAUUUACCAAGAAGAGGAGAUCCUACACAAAAGAUAAGUGAUUCUUUUUUAAUUACGAAAUCGACAUGAUUAUUGUUAUUAUUUUAUUUGUGAUAUAAAUUUGGUAUUGAAAGUCCUUGACUUGGUAGACUUUUUAUUUACAAUGUGAUGUUAUGCUUAUAAAUGAUAAAAUUCAUAGUCUAUGUUUAUAAAAGCUCACUGUUGCAUUAUGUUUUACUUAUAUGAUUAAUUUCCUUUAUUAAAAUUAAUAAAUCAUACCCAUGUGAUUACUAUCACUAGGUAGUACAAUAACAGUAUAUAUGUCGUGCAUAUUUAAAUUACUAUCCAGGUUUUAGAGAAAAGUUAUUAUCUGAAAACUAACAUGGACAUUGUAGGUUAAAUAUAUGCCAAUAAUUAUGUGAUUCGCUAAGUGUGAUGGUAUCAUAUAUAUAUAUAUAGGCUAAUUAAUACUGCAUAUAAGAUAAAAUUAUUCAAACGGAUUGCUUGAUAUGAAACUUUACAUGUGUUUUAAUGCAUGACAGCAAUUUUCAGUGAUGUACUUGCUGAUGAAUCCCUGCAAAAUGUCAAUGCCUAUAUUGGGUUUUUGUAAUUCAGUGCAUGCUUUUCGGUGCGAGCUAAAGAAUUAAUUUUUCAGAAGCCUAAGCAUGAAUAGUCAACGGAAGCUGCAAAAGGGCAGCCUCGUCACCUUCGGUAGACACCACCACUUCAAUGAGUAUGUGGAAUUUAAUCAUAGCGACCCACAUCCGUUAGCACGUUCAACCAUUGCAGUCACCAAAACCAAAUUUUAUCAUCGGAUGAUAAUAUUCGAUUCGAACUCGUCAAUAUUACACAUUUAGUGCUCUCAUUGGCAGUUUUCUACGGUCUUUAGUUGGCGGAGGAAAAAAUAGUAUUGGGUAAACCAGCUUCGGAUAAUGCUAGUUCACUUCAGACUAUAUCACAUCGGCUUCAGUAUGUCUUUGGCUAUCUACAUUUGGAGAUAUAAAGUUGGAUCAAAGCCUCCCAAGGGGUUGGGAAGGUUAUUAUGGGGAUAAAAGGUUGGUUUAGGGGUAUAUGGGUGGAUAAACGUCCUUCGGGAAGGCUUUGUUCUCCCAAAAGGAUAAAUAUUCUUUGAAUAGACAUCUUUUGGAUAGACAUCCUAUGGAUAAACAUCCUACGGAUGAACAUCCUUCGGGAAGGCUUAGUUCCUAUCGAAGGGAUAAACAUCCUUUGAAUAAACAUCCUUCAGGAAGGCUUUGUUCUCCCGAAAGACAAACGACAGUAGAUGUGGAGGGUUCAGUAGUUUUACUAGUAUGAAAAUUGGAUGGUAUGGUGGACUUUUUGUAUACUCUUUUAUUUUAAGUUCCUUAUAAAUAAGAGACUGAGGGGACAAUAUUGGAAUGUAAUUAUUUUAGUCUAGCCAAGGUGUAGCCCAACUUAUUUAAUGGACCAUAUUUGAUGUUAGCCCAUAUAUGUUUAUUUAGAAAGCUUGCUCAAAUAGUGGGAGAGUCCUUAUUAAAGUAAGAUUGUGUUUCCUUAUUUGGUGGGAUAAGGAUAUCUAACUUGGGAAGGAAGCGAUCAGUCAUUAAUUGCAGUUAUUAGAUGAUUCUAAAAAGGACUCCCACUCCUAGUUGGAUUCGGGUGUACAUGACUUCUAUAAAUACAGCAACAAGCAAGGGUUAGAGAACACAAUAACAUAUUACACAAAUAAACAAUUUGUACUAUCCAUAUUAUUUUAGUGGAUUUAUCAUCUCUCUCCGUAGUUUUUUUUCCAAUUGGGUUUCCACGUAAAUUCUUGUAUCCAUAUUUUAUAUCUUUUAUAAUGAUGUGUGUAUGUUUAUCUAUGUGUAUUUCGUGAGUUUGAUUUCACAACAAUACAAUCAACUGUUAGCGUUGUUUUGACCUGCUAUUUUAGUGAUUUCGCCACGUAUAAAAAAAUUGGCGUUAACAAGGGCUAAGCAUUCAGUUAUAACCUAACCGAAUAGGUUGUUUGGUUAUAAAUGAAAAUCAAAAACCAAAAUUAAUGUAUUUUUGAUAUCCGAAAAACUAACCAAAUCGUAUAAUAACCAAAUAACUGAAAAAUCGAAUAUCCAAAUUUACUAUUCGGUUAUUCAGUUAAUAACUGAAAUUGAGGAAUAUUACAAAGAUGUAAAGUGAAUAUGAUGAGAUUUGUUUAACAAUCAUGCUAGGAAUCUGAGUCUCUUGCCGAUGUUGCUAUUAAUCUAGCCCUUGCUGACGUUUUUGUUGAUUUGCUAGUCGAAUUUUCCCUUGCCGACAUUACUAUUGAUUUGAAUAUGCUCCUAUCAAUUUGCAGAAUUCGUUAAUUACCUGAAAGGAUAUGAAAAUUAGAUGAAAAGGAGGCGGAUCGCGAUUUGGGGACUGACUCUGGCUAACUAAGGUUUUGGUUUGGGUUAGGUUUGCAGAGAGAGAUGAGAUUAAAGAGUGAGAGAAUAGAGAUGGGUAUAAGAGAUCAGAUGUGACGGACGAAAUAAAUUUUGUAAUUAAUAGUUUUUGGUAAUAGUUUAUAAUUAUAAUAAUUGUAUCAACUAAAGUUAAAUAAAUUCACAUCAAUUUGAAGUUUAAUAUGUCGUAAUUUGAACUCAAAAGUCAAAUUGUAUCUCUAAU